Molecule: long non-coding RNA, 955 nt
Filed under: Microcebus murinus (gray mouse lemur)
Lineage: Eukaryota; Metazoa; Chordata; Mammalia; Primates; Cheirogaleidae
Description: lncRNA (ENSMICG00000048322.1)
Source: RNAcentral
CGCAGGUUUGCUCACUGCCCUGGGGACAGCUCCCGGUGGCCAGCCUGCCUGGGCUCCCACGCCCGGGGCUCUGGCUGGACCUCAGAACAGUUCCGCUGGGCCGCGGUCCGACUAACCCGGGUGUCUGCAAACGCGGCCGAUUCGGGAAGGUACAUGCACGUCACAGCUAUUAAAAAACUUAAAAGUAAGUUUCCGUUUCCCCUUUGCUCCCAACGCAGAAAUAGGUGCGCCUUCUCGGAGCCGCACAGUUCACAGGUCACCGGGCCGUGGGUGACUCUCUGGUCGGCGCUGAGCUUCAAGAGUGACCAUUCCCCAGACGGUGCACGUCUCACUCUGAAAUUGCUUUUGCUCCCUGCGUCUGUCCUGCGGAGCUCACUCCCAAGACCGGUGUCACAAUGGUCGGAGUCAUUUGCCACCUCCCUGUAAUUAGCGAUCUCCACGGCGUCCCGUGCAACUGCCCUCCCCAGGCCGGAGAACUGCAGGAAAACACGGCCCUUCCCCUUCCACUCGCCGAGGGUCCGGUCACAACGCCAGUCUUCCAGGUGUGGGUUGUCUUGGAGAACGUGUCUUUUUGCCCCAGAGGUCCUGGCCUUGGGCUGGGGUCUAAAUGAGCCUGCUUUGGAGUGAGCUGACAACAGUGCGAUUAUUAUUAAGGCACUGAUGGCCUGCAAUAGGAUUCCUUAAAAAGGAGACUUAAACACCAUUUAGCAGUUACUCAGACUUUAUGUUCACUAAGAAAUGGAGAACAUGGAAGAGAAACUGCCUUCUGCUCAGAUGCAGUAGUUUUGUUUUUUUAAAAAAUAAUCUUUUGUGGAAUAAACUUAACCAAGGAGGUGAAAGACUUGCAAAAAAAAAAAAAAGUUAAAACUACAUUGAAAACUAGAAAAUGUUGCUGAAAGCUGUUAAAGAAGACACCAGGAAAUGAGAAGACAUCCUGUGUUGUGGACUGGAAGAC